RNAcentral lists this ribosomal RNA (428 nucleotides) under uncultured bacterium. RNAcentral describes it as "bacterial SSU rRNA". It matches the Rfam family "Bacterial small subunit ribosomal RNA", at positions 28 to 505 of the family's 1533-position model. The record is from RNAcentral.
GAUUAACGCUGGCGGUGUGUCUAAUACAUGCAAGUCGAACGGCCUUCGGGUAGUGGCGAACGAGCGAGUAACACGUUGAAACCUGCCCCGAACUCAGGGAUAAGCACUGGAAACGGUGUCUAAUACCGGAUAGUCCCGCAAGGGUAAAGAUUUAUCGGUUCGGGAGGGGUCUGCGUCCUAUCAGUUUGUUGGUGAGGUAAAGGCUCACCAAGACUAUGACGGGUAGCUGGUCUGAGAGGAUGAUCAGCCGCGAUGGAACUGAGACACGGUCCAUACUCCUACGGGAGGCAGCAGUAGGGAAUCUUCCGCAAUGGACGAAAGUCUGACGGAGCAACACCGCGUGGUUGAUGAAGCCCCUUGGGGUGUAAAGACCUUUUCUGAGGGAAGAAUUAUGACGGUACCUUAGGAAUAAGCACCGGCUAACUCUG